RNAcentral lists this ribosomal RNA (497 nucleotides) under uncultured bacterium. RNAcentral describes it as "partial 16S ribosomal RNA". It matches the Rfam family "Bacterial small subunit ribosomal RNA", at positions 28 to 507 of the family's 1533-position model. The record is from RNAcentral.
GAUGAACGCUGGCGGCGUGCCUAAUACAUGCAAGUCGAGCGAACAGACGAGGAGCUUGCUCCUCUGACGUUAGCGGCGGACGGGUGAGUAACACGUGGAUAACCUACCUAUAAGACUGGGAUAACUUCGGGAAACCGGAGCUAAUACCGGAUAAUAUAUUGAACCGCAUGGUUCAAUAGUUAAAGACGGUUUUGCUGUCACUUAUAGAUUGAUCCGCGCCGCAUUAGCUAGUUGGUAAGGUAACGGCUUACCAAGGCAACGAUGCGUAGCCGACCUGAGAGGGUGAUCGGCCAAACUGGAACUGAGAAACGGUCCAGACUCCGACGGGAGGCAGCAGUAGGGAAUCUUCCGCAAUGGGCGAAAGCCGGACGGAGCAACGCCGCGUGAGUGAUGAAGGUCUUCGGAUCGUAAAACUCUGUUAUUAGGGAAGAACAAAUGUGUAAGUAACUAUGCACGUCUUGACGGUACCUAAUCAGAAAGCCACGGCUAACUACGUG